UCGAUACCUGCCUGGCAGAACGACCCGCGAACCAGUUCAUGAACUGUCGGAUUCCACGGGCCUAGCCCCGUUGUCUCCGCAUCCCGAUGGCUGCCGGGCGUGAUAACACACGCACGACCGCCGUCGGUGAAACAAACCAACCCCGGCGCGGAAUGCGCCAAGGAACAUUCGAGAAGAAGGAGGGGGGUUCCGGACGACCGUUCGGCUAUCCUCCUCUCGCUAACAAUAACGACUCUCGGCAACGGAUAUCUAGGCUCUUGCAUCGAUGAAGAACGUAGCGAAAUGCGAUACUUGGUGUGAAUUGCAGAAUCCCGUGAACCAUCGAGUCUUUGAACGCAAGUUGCGCCCAAAGCCUUCUGGCCAAGGGCACGUCUGCCUGGGUGUCACACAUCGUCGUCCAAACCCGCAUUCCCCUCGGGGCAUCGGGCGCGGGCGGAUAAUGGUCUCCCGUGCGCUCCCGCUCGCGGUUGGCCCAAAUCGGAGUCCCCGGCCAGGGUGGACCACGACUAGCGGUGGUUGAAAGACCCUCGACGAGAGUCGUGCCCGCCCUCCGGGACAAUCUGACCCUGAUCGUGCUCCGACCAAUUCCGAGCGCUCACGAA
RNAcentral lists this unclassified non-coding RNA (602 nucleotides) under Harungana madagascariensis. RNAcentral describes it as "sequence contains ITS1, 5.8S rRNA gene, ITS2". The stretch from base 231 to 386 matches the Rfam family "5.8S ribosomal RNA". The record is from RNAcentral. Lineage: Eukaryota; Viridiplantae; Streptophyta; Magnoliopsida; Malpighiales; Hypericaceae.